UUUUUAGUAUAUGUAAGGUCCCAUGCAAUAUUUGUGACAUACUCAUACUGAAA
RNAcentral lists this microRNA precursor (53 nucleotides) under Marmota monax (woodchuck). Lineage: Eukaryota; Metazoa; Chordata; Mammalia; Rodentia; Sciuridae. The record is from RNAcentral.